GCUGGGUAUGGUGGUGCAUGCCUGUAAUCUCAAUGACUUAGGAGGCUGAGUCAGGAGAAUUGCAAGUUCAAAGCCAGCCUCAGAAGUUUAGCAAGGCCCUAAGCAACUUAGAGAGACCCUGUCUUCA
RNAcentral lists this small RNA (127 nucleotides) under Marmota monax (woodchuck). The record is from RNAcentral. Lineage: Eukaryota; Metazoa; Chordata; Mammalia; Rodentia; Sciuridae.